AUGUAUGCCUAAAUGGGGGGGAGGAUACUUUUUCAGCUACCUUUAAGCGGGUCAUUCCUAAAAACCCCCUGCAUUACCUUUAUAAAUUUCAAAGAAACACUUGGGUUUAACCUCUUCCACACUUCCGAAGAGUAAGACUCCUUUCUGCGUUGGCGAGCUGCUUUUCUUUUUCCUCUGAACCGCCCCCAAACCCCAUGCGUGUAUUGGUCCCUUUCUCAGCGGUGAAUUAUUUAAAAGCAGGACCAUCCUGAGCGCUGCAGCUUGUGCUUAUAUGGAAGUCAGUGGAGCCUGAGCCAUAUAGUUGCUCGAGCAGAGCCUUUCCUUGACCAGUCACGAACCUCUGCAGCUCUCCCGAGUUGCAGAGCCGGGGUUUUCAUCCUGCGCCUUGUCAUGGGUUCAUUUGGAGACCGAUGAUACCAGCGAAUAUUUCCCUGCCUCCAUUAUUAAUAUCAGUCAUAGGCUUGAAGUCUCAUAGCGCAAAUCCUUCGCUUGUCUCUAUUGUAACCUGAGAGCAAAUACGGAAAAUAAUGAAUGCUUUGAAGGGCUUUUUUUUCAAGGUGCAGAUAAGCGAUCUCCGUAUCUUUUCCUAGCCGGGAGGUUGUUAUUUUAUCUAGUGCUUGACAGAUCCAUACACCAGGGACACCGGCACUCCUAGCUGUUGUUAAUGGUGCGGCCGUUUCUUCCGGAAAUGCCCGUUGAUUCGUACUGGUGAUUAGGUUGCCUUGGACAACUGGAGCGCGACGGGCAAGAAGCGACCCUGAUUUGCGGCAAAUAGAGAAUAAAUGAUUUAAGAGGCAACAGGGAAAGCAGCAUUUCUCGUUGCCCGAGCUGAGCACGGGCGGCGGCAGGCCCCCGCUGGCCCAGGGCGGGAGCGGGGCACGCGGGCACGGACGAGACGAGAAAGCCCCCGCACUGCUCUGCGGCUCGGGUGCGGCGCGGAUAGAAAUGCUUCAUUCCUAUUGGACAAGCAGACCAACGCGACUACAAAUGCCGCUUCCUAUUGGGUGGCAUUCUGAUACCCGCCGGGACAAGGGGGGAGCCGGGAGCUCCCAGCCUGGAGCUGCUGCUUCUUGCACUUACGUUUGCCCUGGACAGUUAGUUAUACUGCUCCCUGCUUGAAUCGGUUCCUUUUUAGAGCAGAAGGAAGCAGCUUUUGAUGGCUCGUGUAAAGCAGCUCAAUCGUAAGGUUGCCACUGAAGGACUCCCUCGGGAGGACCUGCUCAAGAGAACAGCUCGAAAAAGGGUAGCAGAGACAAUCUAUGCAUCCCCUAUGGAGCAGGUACCUGGGAAAAAGCCUGCUGGAAAAACCCGUGCUUCUGCAGCAGAAGAGGUGGAGAAGCCUCUGCAUCCCCAGUCUCGCCCCCACGCUAAAAUGUUCCAAAAAAUUCACUGAUAUCAGCAACACAGCGGCCUGGUGAUUUCCCCGCUUGGCUUCCGACGACUAAUGAAAGACGCUUGUGAUCUGAAGAGUAACUUGCAUUUCCAGUCGCCAGCUCUCCUGCCUCUGCAGGAAGCCACUGAAGCUCAUCUCCUGCGGCUGUUUGAAGACUGGAACCAAUGUGCUCUUCAUGCAAAAAGAGCCUCCGUGCAACCCAGCGAUGUUCAUCUUGUGAGAUGCCUCCAGGGAGACAGAACGUGAACUUCAUAGAGGCACACAGGACAACCCUUCUCAGGAAAGAUUUCUCUACAGCUUUCCUUGGGAGUCACCAUGCUGCUGUAGAGGGAAGCACUUGGUUCAUCUUUGUAGCUUUGUUUGUUUUUACAUUUUUAGUUUUUUAAAACUUUUGUUAAAUAGCCUUUCAAAUGUCUCAAAUACAUGGCUAUUACCCUUUUUUAAGACGAUGGGAGAAGCUGAUGGUUUCUCCAAACAGGAAUGCAAAGUUCCCUUUAAUGUUCUCCUCUUUGUAACGUUAAGAUACACUGCUGUCGUUAAGUGAGUUUCUUUGUGCUGGGAAUAAAUGUUUCGCAACAGAAUAUAUAAAUAUAAUAAUGUAAAAAAUAAAGAUCUAUGGUAGUCAAGG
This is a long non-coding RNA of Alligator sinensis (Chinese alligator), 2021 nucleotides long. RefSeq lists it as uncharacterized. The record is from RefSeq and is a predicted model, not a curated record. NCBI's taxonomy places the organism in Eukaryota, Metazoa, Chordata, Crocodylia, Alligatoridae. The transcript is spliced from 2 exons.